This 468-nucleotide ribosomal RNA is filed under the name uncultured bacterium. Its description in RNAcentral is "bacterial SSU rRNA". It matches the Rfam family "Bacterial small subunit ribosomal RNA", at positions 28 to 507 of the family's 1533-position model. The record is from RNAcentral.
GAUGAACGCUGGCGGCGUGCCUAAUACAUGCAAGUCGAACGAGGCCCUUUGUAUUCGUACGAAGGUGUCCUAGUGGCGAACGGGUGAGUAACACGUAGGUGACCUGCCCCGAAGAGGGGAACAACCCCGGGAAACCGGGACUAAUACCCCAUAACCUCCAGGGAGUUAGAUGACCCUGGAGAAAAGGAGCAAUCCGCUUCGGGAGGGCCUGCGGCCCAUCAGCUAGUUGGUAGGGUAAUGGCCUACCAAGGCGACGACGGGUAGGGGACCUGAGAGGGUCGGCCCCCACACUGGCACUGAAACACGGGCCAGACACCUACGGGUGGCAGCAGUAGGGAAUAUUGCCCAAUGGACGAAAGUCUGAGGCAGCAACGCCGCGUGCGCGAUGAAGGCCUUCGGGUUGUAAAGCGCUUUUCUGGGGGAAGAGGAAGGACGGUACCCCAGGAAUAAGUCUCGGCUAACUACGUG